AAAAAAAAAGACACAGAAAAGAAACAACACCCUCCCCCUCAAAAUAAAUAAAUAAAGAAGGAAGCUUAUCAGUGCUUUGAUGUCCCAAUCAUUGCGCAAAGCAUGCCCACAAUCGCCUUUUUGACUGUGGGAUCAAACAAUUCAGAUCAAGCACUACUGGCCUGCCAGUUACCAGUCAUGCUUAACCAGAAAACCUUUUUAUAACUCUCCAUAUUUUAAUAGUUUCAGUUUUCAAUAUGUGUUCUUGAAGCACAUUUUCUUGUAAAAACUAAAUAUGUUGGACUUACUAAGAAGUUUGUCAUGUUAUGAUCUUGUAAUUGAUUCCAGAUACUUAUUGCUUGUUUUAGAAAUACCCCAAACAUAAAGAGAGUGUUGUCUUUCAUUGUCUUACGUUUAAAACAAAAUUUAACACAAAAAGUAAGAUGUGCAAUAUCUCUAC
RNAcentral lists this unclassified non-coding RNA (439 nucleotides) under Hevea brasiliensis (rubber tree). The record is from RNAcentral. Lineage: Eukaryota; Viridiplantae; Streptophyta; Magnoliopsida; Malpighiales; Euphorbiaceae.